This 138-nucleotide ribosomal RNA is filed under the name Butyrivibrio fibrisolvens. RNAcentral describes it as "partial 23S ribosomal RNA". It matches the Rfam family "Bacterial large subunit ribosomal RNA", at positions 2787 to 2925 of the family's 2925-position model. Lineage: Bacteria; Bacillati; Bacillota; Clostridia; Lachnospirales; Lachnospiraceae. The record is from RNAcentral.
GUGAAGCCCCCCUCAAGAUGAGAUAUCCCCACGCAAGUGGUAAGACCCCUUGGAGAGUACGAGGUUGAUAGGCACAAGGUGUAAGAGUGGUAACAUUCUCAGCUGAUGUGUACUAAUAGGUCGAGGACUUAACCAAAA